This 351-nucleotide ribosomal RNA is filed under the name uncultured bacterium. RNAcentral's name for it is "bacterial SSU rRNA". It matches the Rfam family "Bacterial small subunit ribosomal RNA", at positions 8 to 350 of the family's 1533-position model. The record is from RNAcentral.
AGAGUUUGAUCCUGGCUCAGGAUGAACGCUAGCUACAGGCUUAACACAUGCAAGUCGAGGGGCAUCAGUUUGGUUUGCUUGCAAACCAAAGCUGGCGACCGGCGCACGGGUGAGUAACACGUAUCCAACCUGCCUCAUACUCGGGGAUAGCCUUUCGAAAGAAAGAUUAAUAUCCGAUAGCAUAUAUUUCCCGCAUGGGUUUUAUAUUAAAGAAAUUCGGUAUGAGAUGGGAUGCGUUCCAUUAGUUUGUUGGCGGGGUAACGGCCACCAAGACUACGAUGGAUAGGGGUUCUGAGAGGAAGGUCCCCCACAUUGGAACUGAGACACGGUCCAAACUCCUACGGGACGGCA